Molecule: ribosomal RNA, 253 nt
Filed under: uncultured bacterium
Lineage: Bacteria
Description: partial 16S ribosomal RNA
Rfam family: Bacterial small subunit ribosomal RNA
Source: RNAcentral
GACGUAGGGCGCGAGCGUUGUCCGGAUUUAUUGGGCGUAAAGAGCUCGUAGGCGGCUUGUCGCGUCGACCGUGAAAACUUGGGGCUCAACCCCAAGCCUGCGGUCGAUACGGACAGGCUCGAGUUCGGUAGGGGAGACUGGAAUUCCUGGUGUAGCGGUGAAAUGCGCAGAUAUCAGGAGGAACACCGGUGGCGAAGGCGGGUCUCUGGGCCGAUACUGACGCUGAGGAGCGAAAGCGUGGGGAGCGAACAGG